AAGAUUAAGCCAUGCAUGUCUCAGUGCAAGCCAAAUUAAGGUGAAACCGCGAAAGGCUCAUUAAAUCAGCUAUAAUUUAAUUGGUGGUACAAUCACGGUUACUUGGAUAACUGUGGCAAUUCUAGAGCUAAUACAUGCAAAACGAGUUCCGACCGGCGGAACGAAUGCUUUUAUUAGAACAAAACCAAUCGAAUCUGAAUAACUUUAAGCUGAUCGCACGGUCAAGCACCGGCGACGCAUCUUUCAAAUGUCUGACUUAUCAACUUUCGAUGGUAGACUACGCGCCUACCAUGGUGAUAACGGGUGACGGGGAAUCAGGGUUCGAUUCCGGAGAGGGAGCCUGAGAAACGGCUACCACAUCCAAGGAAGGCAGCAGGCGCGCAAAUUACCCACUCCCGGCACGGGGAGGUAGUGACGAAAAAUAACGAUGCAGGACUCUUAACGAGGCUCUGCAAUCGGAAUGAGCACACUCUAAAUCAUUUAACGAGUAUCCAUUGGAGG
RNAcentral lists this ribosomal RNA (501 nucleotides) under Pedicinus hamadryas. RNAcentral describes it as "SSU rRNA". It matches the Rfam family "Eukaryotic small subunit ribosomal RNA", at positions 40 to 554 of the family's 1831-position model. Lineage: Eukaryota; Metazoa; Arthropoda; Insecta; Psocodea; Pedicinidae. The record is from RNAcentral.